RNAcentral lists this long non-coding RNA (3571 nucleotides) under Homo sapiens (human). RNAcentral's name for it is "non-protein coding lnc-NGFR-6:1". The record is from RNAcentral. Lineage: Eukaryota; Metazoa; Chordata; Mammalia; Primates; Hominidae.
GUACAGAGGCUAAGACUGCCGCAAGGAGAGCCUUAGGGCUCCGGGAAAGAGGAGGUGGGCGUCCAGCUGGUGGCAAAAAUUAGUAGGGGCAAGUUCAUGGCUGAUGAAGAGGACAGGUGGAACUCUGGAGGAAGUCGUGGUGAAAUCACCGGCAGGCUGAGACCCUUUGGGGGAAACGAAGGGCCGUCUUCCUUCCAAAGCCCUGUCUGCAAACGUCCUCAGAGUUGUGAGACGUUGAUUACCAGACCCAGAGAGAACCAUCUGUGCUGAAAAACUGAGACCAACCGAGAGGAAGGAAUUCAUUCAGGGUCAUGCACCGAGUGAGAAAAGGGGCUCGGCUUGGAAUCCAGGUCCCCUAGACAUGAUUUUAGAGAAACGUUUUAUUUGGAAAAGUUGCAAGAAUAGGGCAAAAGAACGCACGUUAAACUUUGGCUCAGAUUCACCUAUUGUUAACAAUUUGCUUCAUUUGUUUUAUCAUUUGUUUCUUACCUCUCCCCUCCUCCUCCCUGCCGCCACUCCGCCGCCCCACCUCCGUGUGCGUGUGUGUUUAUUUUCUUGUUUUUGUUUUGUUUUGUUGUUUGUUUUUGAGAUGGAGUUUCGCUUUUGUUGCCCAGGCUGGAGUGCAGUGGCGCGAUCUCGGCUCACCGCAACCUCCGCCUCCCGGGUUCAAGCGAUUCUCCUGCCUCACCCUCCCAGAAUAGCUGAGAUUACAGGCAUGCACCACCACACCCGGCUAAUUUUUUAUUUUUGUAGAGACGGGGUUUCUCCAUGUUGGUCAGGCUGGUCUCGAACUCCCGACCUAGGUGAUCCACCCGCCUCGGCCUCCCAAAGUGGUGGGAUUACAGGCAUGAGCCACCGCGCUCAGCUCUCAUUCUAGUUUUUACCUCUAUAAGAUCAACUCUUUUAGCCCCCACAUAGGAAUAAGAACGUGAGGGCUGGGCGUGGUGGUCACGCCUGUAAUCCCAGCACUUCGGGAGGCCAAGGACAGAGGAUUGCUUUAGCCUAGGAGUUUGAGACUAGCCUGGGCAACAAAUUGAAACCCUGUCUCUACAAAAAUAAAAAUAAAAAGUACCUGGAUGUGGUGGCAUGUACCUGUAGUUCCACCUAUUCGGGAGCCAAGGUGGGAGGAUUGCUUGAGCCUGGGAGGUCAAGGUUGCAGUGAGCUGUGACUGUGCCACUGCACUGCAGCCUGGGUGACAGAGCGAGACCUUGUCUCAAAAAAAAAAAAAAAAAAAAAAAAAGUAUGGUCAUUUUUAACAAUAUUAAUUCUUCCAAUCCACCAAUCCAUGAACACGAGAUGUCUUUCCAUUUGUUUGUGUCCUCUUCAGUUUCUUUCAUCAGUGUUUUGUAGUUUUUAUUGUAGAGGUCUUUUUCCUCCUUGAUUAAAUUUUUUCCUAGGUAGUAGGGUUGCUUUCUUGAUUUCUCUUUCAGCUAAUUCCUUAUUGGUGUACAGAAAUGCUAGUUUUUGUAUAAUGAUUUUUUAUCCUGCAACUUUACUGAAUGUAUCAGUUAUAAGAGAUUUUUGGUGAAAUCUUUAGAUUUUUCUAUAUACUAGGUAUCAUGUCAUCUUCAAAGGGGGCAAUUUGAUUUUUUUUUUUUUUAAGACUACUCAAGUGCAGUAGUGAGAAGUGGGGAAAGAGUAGAACAAGGAGUUCAAUCUGUAACUUACUGUGAGAUUGAGAUAACUCACUACAUUCGCACUGGCCUGACUUCCUUUUUUCCAAUUUGGAUGCCUUUUAUUUCUUUCUCUUGCCUGGUUGCUCUGGCUAAGACUUCAGUACUAUGUGGAUUAAGAGUGAUGAAAGUGGGCCGGGCGCGGUGGCUCACGCCUGUAAUCCCAGCACUUUGAGGCCAAGGUGGGCGGAUCUCCUGAGGUCGGGAGUUCAAGACCAGCCUGACCAACAUGGAGAAACCCCGUUUCUACUAAAAGUACAAAAAAAAUUAGCCGGGCAUGGUGGCGCAUGCCUGUAAUCCCAUCUACUCGGGAGGCUGAGAUAGGAGAAAUGCUUGAAUCCGAGAGGCAGAAGUUACCGUGAGCCGAGAUCACGCCAUUGCACCCCAGCCUGGGCAACAAGAGCACAACUCCAUCUCAAAUAAAUAAAUAAAUAAAUAAAUAAGUAAUGAAAGUGGGCAUCUUUGCCUUCUUCUAGUUCUUAGAAGAAAGGCAUUCCUCUAUUCCCCCAUUCAAUAUGAUGAUAGCUGUGGGUUUGUCAUUUAUGGAGUUUAUUAUGUUGAGAUAUGUUUCUUCUAUGCCUAAUUUGUUGAGAAUAUUUAUCACGAAGGAUGUUUAAUUUUAUCAAGUGCUUUUUCUGCAUCUAUUGAGAUGAUCAUAUGGUUUUUGUCCUUCAUUCUGCUGAUGUGAUGUAUCCGCGGUUAUUGAUUUAUGUAUGUUGAACCGUCUUUGCAUUUCUGGAAUAAAUCCCACUUGAUCAUGGUGUAUUAUCCUUUUGAUGUGCUGUUGGAUUUUGUUUACUAGUAUUUAGUUGAGGAUUUUUGCAUCGAUGUUCAUCAAGGAUAUUGGCCUGCUGUUUUCUUUUUUUGUUGUGUUUUUGUCUGAUUUUGGUGUCAGGGUAAUUCUGGCCUUAUAGAAUGAGUUAGGAAGAAUUUCUUCCUCUUCAGUUUUUUUGGAAUAGUUUGAGAAAAUUGGUAUUAUUUCUUCUUUAUAAGUUUGGUAGAAUUUAGCAGUGAAGCCAUCUGUUCCUGGGCUUUUCUGUUUUGGGAGACUUUUUAUCACUAAUUCAAUUUCAUCACUCGUCAUGGGUCUUUUCAAGUUUUCUGUUUCUUCCUGGUUCAAUAUUUGUAGGUUGUAUGUGUCCAGUUAUCCAUUUUCUCUAGGUUUUCCAAUUUUUUCAUGUGUAGUUGUUCAUAAUAGUCUCUGAUGAAUUAUUGUAUGUCUCUGGAAACAGUUGUAAUGUCUCAUUUUUUAUUUCUGAUUUUAUUUAUUUGGGUCUCCUCUCUUUUCUUCUUGUUGAGUCUAACUAGCAGUUUAUUGAUUUUGUUUAUCCAUUGAAACAAACAAUGUCUAAUUUCAUUGAUUAAAUUUUUUUCACUCUCUGUUUUGUUUUGCUAUGCUGUAAUCGUUAUUAUUCUUUUCCUUCUCCUAAUUUUGGGUUUGGUUUGUUCUUGCUUUUCUAGUUCCUUGCGGAGCAUUGUUAGGUUGUUUAUUUGAAAACUUUCUAGUUUUUUGAUGUAGGUGCUUAUUGCUAUCAAUGUCUGUCUUAGCACUGCUUCUGUUGUAUCCUAUAUAUUUUGGUAUGUUGUGUUUCCAUUUUCUUUUCUUUUCUUUUUUCUUUUUUUUUUUGAGAUGGAGUUUUGCUCUUGCUGCCCAGGCUUGAGUACAAUGGCGUGAUCUUGGCUCACCGCAACCUCCGCCUCCCGGGUUCAAGCCAUUCUCCUGCCUCAGCCUCCUGAGUAGCUGUGAUUACAGGCAUGCACCACCAUGCCUGGCUAAUUUUGUAUUUUUAGUAGAGACAGGGUUCCUCCAUGUUGGUCAGGCUGGUCUCAAACUCCCAGUCUCAGGUGAUCCGCCCACUUCAGCCUCCCAAAGUACUGAGAUUACAGGCAUGAGCCA